AUGCAUCUGAAGAAUCCCAAAUAGGACGAAACGCGCAUCCUGUAU
RNAcentral lists this non-coding RNA (45 nucleotides) under Schistosoma mattheei. The record is from RNAcentral. Lineage: Eukaryota; Metazoa; Platyhelminthes; Trematoda; Strigeidida; Schistosomatidae.